This 3714-nucleotide long non-coding RNA is filed under the name Pan troglodytes (chimpanzee). RNAcentral describes it as "long non-coding RNA NONPTRT011649". The record is from RNAcentral. Lineage: Eukaryota; Metazoa; Chordata; Mammalia; Primates; Hominidae.
CUUUGACCUGGGAAUUCCUCAAGCUGUACUUCCCCCAUUACCAAAGAGGCCUGCUCUUGAAAAAACCAACGGUGCCACUGCAGUCUUUAACACUGGUAUUUUCCAAUACCAACAGGCUCUAGCCAACAUGCAGUUACAACAGCAUACAGCAUUUCUCCCACCAGUUCCCAUGGUGCACGGUGCUACGCCAGCCACUGUGUCCGCAGCAACAACAUCUGCCACAAGUGUUCCCUUCGCUGCAACAGCCACAGCCAACCAGAUACCCAUAAUAUCUGCCGAACAUCUGACUAGCCACAAGUAUGUUACCCAGAUGUAGAAUUUUCAUCACUAAACAAUCAUGCUAAAGAGGAAAGGACAGUGUGCUUGGUUAGAGUAAAGGACGAGGUCAUUAGCCAUAUUGUAUAUAUCGUCAAGCAACACACACAAAAGUUCCUCAGCCACAAGACAUCCACAUAUUGCAUGUUAACCAGAAGAAAAGACAACAUUUUCCGGAAAUCCACUGCACACUGUUGCCUAUACACUUUGUACAUUUAAUUGAUAUUUGUGCUGAGGUGAUAUUCCUGUCUAAAAGAACAACAUUGUCUUUCUUUUCUAGCACAGAGUUAUGCAUUCAAAGAUGCAUACCUAAUUAGUUUCCUAUAUAUUAAUGCCAUCUUGAAAAGACAGACUAUGGUGUAACCAUGAUUCUAUUAUGUAUUGGUACGUCUGUAGACCAAGAUAUAAUUUUUUAAAAAUAAGUUUAUUUCUUUCAAGGUUUACAAAUAACAAAGGUGCACCUUGUGUUUAAAAUUGCCAUUAUAGAUGAGAGCGUGCAUGCACAGUCAUUUUUGUUUAAGAGUAAUAUUUUUAAUGUAAUAGAUUGUAAGACGUGGUGAGGGAGGGAUCUGACAGAGAUGAAUGUGCCAAGCAAAACCACAACUGUGUAUAUUUUAAAGCACAUCAUGGCUUUAAGUACCAUGUUGUUAAGGAUUCUCAUGAAGUGCCAUAGACUGUACAUCAAAUUAGAGUAUUAUUUCUUCAGUGUUUGUUAUUGUUUUCAGAGCCACAUUUUGUUGCAUAUUUGCUAGUACUAAUCAGUCAAAGGGCACCAUUCUUUUUUUUUUUUUUUUGAAACCAAAGCUGUCUCAGAAAUGGCCAAUUUAACUUUACAGUAACAAUAGACAGCACAACACAAACUCUCUCAAUACAGAUAAACUCACACAUACUGGAGAUAUAUAUAUAAUAGAUAUAUAUAAAAUUAUUUUAAUGCAUUGUAGUGUAAUAUUUAUGCAUACUAUACUGUAUAACAUGUUAUUCAAAAGGGAUUGCCAUUUCUGAGACACAGUAACAAAAAAUGUUUGAGGAAAUUAUUUUGCUUCUAUUUAUAGCCUCUGUCAAAAGUCAAAAGACUAUAAAUGCUUUGCAAAAAUGGUUUCACGUUUGCUUAAAUGCUUCAUCACAGUCACAUUCAAAAUAGUGACUCUAAACAAAGAAGAAAGCAGCACUGUCAUCAGAUGCAUGAUAAACCAAAAUAUGAAAAUGGGAAAUGUUUAAUUAACCUAGUAAUUGGGUGGGUUAAGUACAUGGGUGAAUUUUAUAUGUGAUUUUUGUUUUGUUUUGUUUUGUUCAGAUUAACUGCUUAUAGCCUUAGAAAGCCUUUUACAAAAUUAAAAAAAAAUAGAUGUGCAUUCAGUUUUUAAGAAUGGAAUCAUCCAAAGGAAUUCCUUUUUUUGAGGUUUGGAUGUUGCAGCUAGUAAAGGAUAUUUUUGCUCUGUUCAGCAGUUCUAAAAAUUGCUGAAGUAGGGGCCAGGUCACUGGUAGUUAUAGUAUGGAAUGGGAGAAGUGAAAGUUCAGUUAUAGAACUUUCCAUACUUCCAAGUUUACUGCAAGUUUUUAUGCUUGAGAGAGAUGCUUUCUAAUAUAAGACUGAUGUGUUGAUUUUACUGAUUGUACUGUACAUCUAUUAAAGCCUUAGAUUAUUACAUUACGGGUUGGAACCCAUACCAAUGUAAUUUCAAUCGUGUUAAGAAAGUAAUGGUGACUUCACAUGUUAUUGUAGUUAGUUACAUUAUAGAAUAUUACUUAUUUUUCUUGUUAAAAUGUAGUUUUUCAUUUCCUACAUUUAUUAGAUUUUCAUUUUCUAUUAACAAUUGAAUACCAUUUCAGUUUAUAGACUAUGGUUUUAUUAGAUUUUACCAAUGAAUUUUUCAAAAUACAAAAAAAAAGUAGUUUUUCCUUCAUAACAUACUCAGUUUUGAAUUACAUGUAGUGUCAUAUGAAUAUUCGUAUUGUUAACUAAAUGAUUUAUAUUUUACUGAUUUAAUAUUACAGUGUAAGAAUGUCAGUCAUUGUUAGUUCUUGUCUAGUUUUCAUUAAAAGAACAAAGAUCUUUUAUAUGGAUAUCUUAUAAAUAUAUAAUCAUUGCUAAGUAAGAAGUUAAGUUGUUGCUAUCGCAACAAUCCUGGCAGACAAUUGAGUAAUAUUUUGAUGAUUUAUUUUGUUUGUAAUUAGUUAUUAUAAGAAGAUCUAGAUCCUAGAUAUUAGAAUAAAAUUUAUUUUCUACUGUAUCCAUUUCAAAUGUUAAAAUAUUGUUUAAUAUUUUUGAAAUCCCUGAGUAUCAGGCCUUGUUAUAAAUAAGCUGCAUAAUCAAUAAAUAGAACAAGGGACUUUUUGUUGAUAAUCCAAAUACUCAAAGUUUACGUAAUGAAAAUUAUAGCGUGUGUGCAAACUCUUGAGGGUUGAUUAUGCUGCAAUUUAGCAUGUUGGAACGUCUAGGGAGAAGGUUGACUUUUUGCACUUCUGUAUAUAGUCAAAAGAGAGAAACCUGUAUAAUAGUAAGAUCUUAUUUUGAAUAAAAACGUCUAUAAUUACAAGGAGUUUUGUUAAGGCUAAUACAAUGACAGACUGAGCAAAAUUGCUUGCAAAAGUGGCACAGAGUUAGCACUCCAUACCCCUUCAAACAUGUUGCUUUGCUUUCUUGUGGACAGCUUGUAGUUUGCCAGGAUUUUUUCAGCUGGAAAGAUACGCCAUCCUUUCAAACCCUCAUGACUGACAAAAACUCCAUGGGGCCAAAUCUGCCUGAAGAUCAUUACCAAAAAUAGCAGGUACUUCUACCAUUAAGGUGAAAUCAUGGAUCAGAUAUUCCUUACAUUUUUCAAAACUACUGCAUGUUUAAAACUUCAACAAAAAAAGAGAGAAAGAACUAUACUAAGAACAUAUAUUAUUCAGAUCAGUUUCUGCCAAUUUCAGUGGUUUAUUGUUCACAAAAAAAUCUUCAAAACAAGUAUUGACUUUCACAAAAUUUAAAUCAUAAACAGGCAAACCAAACAGCACACUGUAGCUAUAGUUGUUAUGUGAUUGUUUUUUAAUUGCUGUAGGAUCCUGUUCUUUCAGCAGGUGAAAAAUAAAACGCAGUUCAAAUUUCAUGGUUUUAAUUUUCAACUCAGAAGCACUCAAAAAUGCAAAAUGUGAUAAUGGGCACUUGUUAAAAGAAUUAGUGUAUCCAGCCUUCACUCCAGCUGGUUAAAAAUGUUGCACUUAUCAGCAACCCUACCACUUUCAUCUGCUGAAAGGACAAAUGUGCUUGGUUUUACUAUUAUGUAAUCACAACUUACUUUCUGCUUGUAGUUGCUUAAAAUUAUGUAUUUUGUCUUGGGCUGCAAUUUGUUUUAUGCUUAUUUUAUUAUUACUGCAGUAGUUGACUUUGCUGUAUGGAAAAAUAAAGUGAAAUUGCCC